RNAcentral lists this unclassified non-coding RNA (253 nucleotides) under rhizosphere metagenome. Its description in RNAcentral is "partial ribosomal RNA internal transcribed spacer region". The record is from RNAcentral.
GAAUUUUAAUGAAGAGUUUGGUUGUAGCUGGUCCAUUUAUUUGGGCAUGUGCACACCUUCCUCUUUCAUCCACACACACCUGUGAACCUGUGAGACAGAUGGGGAAUUUAUUUGUUGUUUUUUGCAAUACAAAGACAACAAAUCAUUGGACCCUCUGUCUACUCAACUCAUAUAAACUCAAUUAAUUUUAAAAUGAAUGUAAUGGAUGUAACACAUCUAAAUACUAAGUUUCAACAACGGAUCUCUUGGCUCU